UCGUCCGCAGUGUUUUGCAUCAAGGGCAAGCAAACCCGCUCCCUGGCAAGGCUGGCUCUGAAUUCCAAACUUGCCGUCGUUCUCCCAGCUGUUUCCACCGCCGCUGCCACGCGUCUGGUCGCAGCAUCCCUGGCCCUCUUGGACCACUGUCCGUAGCCUCUCGCUGGGCUUCCUGCAGGGCUAGCGGGAGAUGGGAGGAUUUCAAUCUAUCCCGCCCACAAGCUUCCCACCUACUUUUCUCUUAUGCUAUGUCACCCUGCUUUAAACCUCACACUGGCUCCCCAGCCCCAUAAGAGAGUUCCAUAAGAGAGCAUUAAGGUGCUCCUAACCAAGCCCCAGCUUAACCCUUUCCAGAUCCACCCCCUACUUGCACCAGAGACCUAGUUUCUCUGAACACCUUGCCCUUCCAGGAACAGCCAUCACUUGCAUACUCAGUGACUACUCUUGUUGUGUCUUCUGCCUAGGGUGCCCUUUGUGAAGUCAACAAAUUCAUAAACUCAACUUUAUCAUAAUAAUGCAAUGGAGAGUGAAAACUGGCACUGAAAUGCCUCUUAGCAAAGGUCACGGAGUUGAAAGCCUACAGGUGUCAAGCAGGAGAAAUAAAUAAGGGAGAAGAUAGCUUUCCUUGAGAAAAUACUCUGAAAAACUGUUUAAGGUGAAGGUGCAUCUUGAAGCAGCUCUGAGAAGGCAGCUGUUGUGGAAGCAGCAAAGAAGAGGACUUGGUUUAGAUCUCUUAAGAUCAAAACUGAAACCCAGAGGUCACAGAGUUGAAGUUGGGACUUGGACCCAUCUUGUCUGGUUCUGGAGCCAUGAUGCCAGUGAGUGAAGAGGGCCAUGGUCGCCUGGGAAGUUUGCACACUAGUGGAGUGGACUGACCUCAAAGAGGUAGUCAAGAGUGUGAAGCUAGAUUCGAGUCUCCACUCCCAGCUUGUGCUUGUGCUGUCUCCUCUACCUGGAACUCCUUUUCCACCCACCUAUCCAAAUCCUACCUCUUCAUGGCCCCGUUAAAAGCCUGAGCCCUACAGUACAUUAUAACACCUAGCAGCACUGAAUUGCAUAUGGGACUGUCUUCCCACUAGAUUUCUGUGAGCUCCUCGCAAAAACUGCACUUUAACUUUCUAUCUUUGGAAUUUGACAGUGAACUUCCCAUGGUUGCCAUGGUGACUUCUUCCUCUGGGGGUUGGAGGGACAUCAUAGGUACAUAAUGUUCAGUCCUCAGAGAUUUACUUGGUCUAAUCCUCUCAUUUUAUAGGAGAAACUGAGGCCCAUAGAGGUUGGGACUUGCUCAAGGAAGCAGCUGAGUCUAGAACGUAGGAGACUAGACUACAAAAAUAAUGUGGCUGGAAGAAAAUUGUUAGCUCUGGAGCCAGACCGAGCUCAAAUUCCAGCUUUUCUGUUCCCUGGCUGUGUGACCUGGGCAAGUUGCUGAACCUCUCUGAGCUUCAUUUCCCUCAUUUGUGUGGUGGGAUUAUAAUGGAGCCUACAUCCCAGGGCUGCUGUGAGAAAUGAAUGAGUUAGUCCUGAAAAAGCUCCCAGCAUAGAACCUGGAAUGUGAUAGCUCUGCAGAAAUAGAGGGCUUUUGUCAUCAGAAUUAUGACCUGUGAGACAUGGCGAUGCCAGCCCCACCCAGUACGGCCUUUGGGGUCCACUCUGCUUCCACAUUCCAGUCCACUUGCAUUCCCUUCAGAAUAUCUGAGACAAAAAGAUAUAGUGACCUUGGGUGGGGGUGGGCCAGAGUCCCCCUCCCUUGAGAUCCUGGCUUGGGAUAAUAGGACUCCUUUGUAGGUCAUAGCCCCGCUGCUAUCCCCAUUGCCCCACUAUUCUGAAGCCACCAAGACCAGGCACUGAGCCUCCCCUGCUUCUGCCUCAGGCUGGCACAGGUAUGGAGGAGCUACAGACAUGGGUGGCCUUGGGUUGGAACCGGGCCAGAGACACAGCCUGCGGGGCAGCUGUAUAGGACCACAGCAAGAAUGACAGCACUGGGCAGAUGCCCAGAUUUGUCUCUGGGGUAGAGAUGCUCCGAGAGCCAGAGGGCACAGUUCCAGUACUAAGCCCCCAGUGCCACCCAAAAGCCAUACCAGCUUGCCCCCUUUUGAGAGUCGCCACCUAGCUCCUGCUUCUAUGAGCCCCUGACCCCCAGGUGUACAGGCACCCAGGCUGAAAGUUCAGAUCCUGCCCUGCUUCUCCCUGACUGUGGGAUGGUGGACAAGUCACUUCACUCCUGUUUCCUCCCCUGUACAAUAGCAAUAAUGAUGCCUUCUUCAGAAUUAAAUAGGAUCCUGUGCGUGUCUCACACUAGCUCUUCACACAGUAGGUGCUCAAUAUGUUUCUUCCCUCCUCUCUCAGCUGUGCCAUUGCUAGGGCAGCAGGGAUCAGACUGAGGCAUGAUUCCUUUGAAAGUGUGCCAAGCUCUGACCUUAGCCAUCUGAAGUUGUGCCUUCUUGUCCCCACCAGAUGGACUCCCCAAACCAGGGCUCAGUCCUGGUUCUGCCCCUGACUAGGCAUCAUUUUAUGUACCACUCACAUCCUGUGAGCCUUAUCUGCAAAACAGACACACUAAUACUCACAUUUAAUGAUUCAACAAAUGUACUCUUGUGUGUGCUGGGCCCUGGCGGCCCAGAAACAAAGAUAAACGAGACAGUGCCUGCCCUCCAGGACCUCCUAGUCUAGGUGGGCAGAUAGACACAAAAUCAGAGACUCAUGGACAGCAGUAAGAACACAAGCGAGGAGUGAUCUUGUUAACUAAGGUGGGUCAACAAUGGUUUCAGAGGAGGGGACAUCUGAGCCACACCUUGAAAGAUGACUAGGAGUUUGUCAGGCAAGCCACUGGGGGCAGAGUUUUUGUGUCAAAUUAAUGUUUUGUAAAUUGGGCUGCCUUUCCUUGCUAGGCUACUACCUGAGCCCAUCUUGCUCCCAUGGGAAACAAAGAAAUGCCCUAGAAACCCAUCCCUGGGCCUAGAGUUCUUGGAACAGGGGGCAGAGACGGGAAACGUUGGCCUGGGAUUUCCUUGAGCUGAAGUGCUGACUAGUUAAUCUCUGAGAGUUGGUAGCUAUGAACUUCUCUGACUUCACUCAUUCACUCAGAUUUCAGUGCCUAGCACCAUGCCUGACGCUUUGCUUCCAGACGGGCAAAGGGGGAUGAAGCAGAUACGGCCCUUCCUUUUGAGGUCUAAAGAGGACAAAUGAAUAAAUAAUCACAACACAGCAUAGCCAUACUAGCAGUAAUCCCACAGGGCGCCAGCUCAUCCUGAAGCCAUUAGCUCUUUUUGUUUGUUAAUUAUGCGACACAUUAAACAGAAAAAUGAGAAGACCCAACAAAAAAUUUAAAGUAAAAUCUCCCUUAGUUUCCCCACCCAGCUGGAUCACAUGAGCUUAAAACAAUACACAAAAAUACUAAAUACAAUGUGGUAUAUUGGAGUGGAUCCUGGAGCAGAAAAAAGAACUGGUAAAAACUGAAUAAAGCCAAAGUCUACUAACGUACCAAUGUCAAUCUCUUAGUUUUGACAAAUGUACCGCAGUUAUGUAAGGUGUUAACAUUGGGGGAAGCAAGGUGACAUGUAUGCUGAAACUCUGUAUUAUCUCUGGAAAUUUUCUGUAAACUUAAAAUUAUUCCGAAAUAAAAAGUUUACUUUAAAAAAAUGGAGCCAUUCUCUAUUGUUUUAUACCUGUUUAUUCACGCAAUAGUUUAUCAUGAAAUUCUUGUCUGGAAAUGAUUUAUUUGAUGACUGCAUACUAUUCCAUCCCAUGAAUGAAUCAUAGCCUAUCUCCUCCGUUGUUGGAAAUUUAGGUUGUUUCCAUUUUUUACCCUGUUAUAAAAAAUGCUAGACAUACUUAGUCAUUUCCUUAGGAUAUAUUAAUAAAGUGGAAUUGUUGAGCCAGAGCUGCCAGCAAGGGAACACGUACUGAGCACCACGGGACAUCACGGUUCUAAAGCUCUUGAUAUACACAAAUUUGUUUAAUUGUGCCAACUACACCAAAGCGGAGGUACUGCUCUCAUUCCUUUACUAUAGGGCAAUUUUCAAAGAUUUUCAAAGAUGAGACAACAAAUUCUCACCAAAGACUCUGUCAGCACCACCUCCCUUGUGUCCCAUGCGACCUGAAGCACACAGAUCAAUCCCAUCAUGCUCAUCUGCACUCCCUCCCAUUUGGGCUUCAAGGAGGGCAGUUUCUGCAGGUAGCCACUGGUCUGUGGAUUAAGAGCAGGUACCGCCAACCUAACACGUGGCUUUAGCAAACAUAUCAGUAAAAAGCAAACUGUUCUGGUUUGGUGCAGUAUUCCAAGGGAGAUGGGGGUGGCAUCGGGGAAUUGGAAUGAGUAAAGAUUCUGAAAUACCUGGUAGCCAUGGUAAGGUCCUUUUUUCCUUGGCAAAUGGCUAUGGGAAAGGAGGGGAAAAAAAGAUCAUUUAUUAGACAGCUAUUUUUCAAUUCAUACUGACUCUGCCACUCAUAGUUGGGUACUAUGAUCCUCAUUUUACAGAUGAGUUUAUUGAAGUUUAGAGGUUGUCUCCCUAUGGUACACAGUGAGCUACUGUCAGUGCUGAGACCUAACCAAAGGUCAGUCAUCCCCAGAACCCAUGCCAACAUCACUAGGCACAUGACUGAACACAGAGCUGACAAUAACAUUGAGAGAUUCCCUUCUCUUGAGUUCCACAGCAAAGGGUCACCCACUUCACGGUCAAAGCACUGAUGCGUGUGUUUCGGAGAGGAGGAAGGAUGGCACAUGAGCAGAGCUUAAAAUGGGCCAUCAGCUCUGUGUGUACAGCCCUUGUCUCCUCUUCUGGGUUCUUGACAUUACUCUUGAGCUGAAAAACUUCGCUUCUAUUGUUUCUAAACUUGGUUUGAAAAACACUUAUUUCCAAUUAGAUGCGGAUUUCCCAAGAACUCUAGGGGUUCACUAGGUUAAAGCAGCCCUGAGUGCUAGUGGCAUCUACCUUCCUUCGGGGGAUGUGUCCUCUGACUGGAAUGCCCCAUCCCCCCCAAAGAGCCACCCUGACCCCACCUCUUCCCCCACGCUACCCAAUUCUCAGCAGUCUGACCUCCUGUACCAUAUAAUUAGCCCUUUCUUUACACUCGGUUUCUUUUCCAAAAUAGACUCAAGGCUGUUUGCAAUACACAUCUGAACACAAAAACACUAAACACAAAUGACUGAGAUUGGGUGAGGUGGGGUGAGAAUUUAUUAAGAAACUCUGGCAGAGGGAAGUAUAGCAAUUGAACACAAGGGAAGUUUCCUCACAGCUAGGGCAAAAAGGAAAACAGUAGAAAAUGAAGCAUUUCUUAUCGAGUAGAAUGUAGACUAGCUAAAUAUUCCUAUCAUGAAGCUCAGAGAGAUAUGUCCCCAAAGUCUGUAUCUAAGGGACACCACACAAUGUAAUGAUUUGCUAUACAGCAAUCUUACCCAUAAGAACAGAUCUGUGUGGCCUGAGGGGUGAUCUACAUAGGGCCUGGGCCUAAGUCUUAUCUUACCUUCACCCUCUGACACUUUGUCUUUCUAUUCCUGUCAGUUCUCUGCUGAGGGCAUCCUGACUGGGAACCUAAAAGGAGCCUCCUGUGAGAGAUGCUCAGCACCACACUGCCUGGGACUCUGAACCGAACUGCCAUAUUCCCACGAUGGGAGGACAGAGUCCCUCUGGGGUUAAGAAUAAUGCAAUGCCAUAACACGUACGGUAGGGCCAGUAUACACACCUUCCUGUUGUCAACCUUCCCGAAAACAGACAAGGGGUUGGUGUGUAUGGGUGGGGGUAACUGACUCCUCUCUCCCGCAGUAACUUGACCCUCUGGCCCUUCUGGAAUAGGGGUGGUUCCAAGAUCUUUGCAAAUCUAGUACACUGGAGCUUUAGCACCCACAGCGAAGAAGAAAGACAAAAUAGAAAAAGGCCUUACCUGAGGUAGCAUUCCCCAAUCAGGUCCUUCAUUGUAACAGAGCAAAUCUACUGGAAUUUCUUCUUUCAUUCAGAUCCAUGGCUCAUAGAUUUCGCUGUAUCAUGAGUGCCUUGAGAAUCUUUCUCUUCUCCCAGCAAAGUGUCAAAGCAAUUGGCACAGUGGUAAGAGGCUGAGGUGUGGAGCCAGACAGGGUUCACUCUGGUUCUACCAUUCCCAGAAGUAUGCACCUCAAAAUGCACACACAUAACAUGGAGAUCAUAAUAGUACACACAUCCACAGGGUUAUUGAUAAUAAAUUAUAACAUAUGCAGAACCUACCACACAAUAAGCAUUAAACGUUAAAUUAUUAUGAAAAUUAAAAAUACAGAAUUCUGUACAUAAUUUCAGAGGUCCAUGGACUUCUAGGACAUCUUCAGGUUAAGAAUCCUUAGCCCGGUUCCUAAAAAUCAGGAAGACAAUAGGCUUUGCCAAUGUCUACAUUUUCAAUGUGAAUUCCAUCAGCAUAUACUGAACAUCAGCUGUGCACUGAUAUCCUGGCCUUCAUCAGUAGCUUGGUUACCAGAGUUGUCAGCACACUUCAGGGGCAGGGACCGUUUCCAUUCUACUGACGAGGUGCGAUGACUUUGCCCAAGGACUCAUGGUGGAGUUGCUGCUGAAAUCUGUCCUCCGACUCAUUUAGCUGCCUUCCUGAGAAGACUGGUGAGGCUUCUUGGGGACCGGUGCUGCUCUUCAUCCUGCUCUGUCUGCCUGUGACACUUUGUGCACAUGAGAGAUCCUAAGACACACACCUUGGGUCCUCAAACUGGCAGUGACUUCUUCAAAAUCAGUUCUGGCAGUGUGAGUGUCCAUGAAAAAGAACUCUCAUCCGGAGGGGCCCUGCCUGCUGUAGAGCUGCAAAAGUCACUAAAUCACUUCAGCAACAAAAUCAAGGCCACAGUUCGAGUUCUGACUCUGCCUCUCAUGUGUGACCUCAGGAAUUGUACUUUACCACUCUGAGUUUUGGUUUCCUCAGCUGUAAAAUAGAAGAACGAUAGUUCCAACCACCUACGGUGCUUCGUAGAGGUCAAGUGAGGUCAUGGGUAUUGUUCGCACAGUAACUGGCAUAUCAGUCCUCCAGGAACAGUAGCCGUUCUUAUCUUACUCAGUUUCAGUUUCCAGAUGAGGAAACCAAGGCCGAAGAAGUGUAAGAGUAACAGCUCAUUGGGUCUUCUUCAACCACACCACGAGGCCUUCCAGGCUAGUUUGACAAAUAUUUCCCCAUUUGUUGCAUGAUGGUCAAUGAGGGGAAGAAAAUUUUCAUAGGGUCUUUAAAUAGCUCAGGGAAUGAAAGGUCAGGAUGACACUUAAAAUGACUCUGUAGAGGUGGGGAAGUGAAGCAGAAGAGGGAGUUGGCUCAGGGAGAAUACAGCAGUGACAAUUCUGCUUCUCUCCAGAGUUAAGGGCCUGAAAGGAGAAGAAUGGUGGCACUUCUGGCCCGGCUCCCUCUGGUUUCAGGGAGAGCAGUUAUUUCCCAGAACCUCACUGGCAAAGGCAGCCCUUCCAAAGAGCAAGAGAGCUUUAGUUUGGACAAACAAUUUAAGCUCAUUUUUGCUGGGGAAGAAAGGAUUUAUAAAGAAGCAACUAAGGGUAUUAAAGAAGCAUCUGAAAAGGCAGCCAAAAAUCUGGCUUACGGAUUAGAAGCACUGGCUUUCUAGACUGUGGACGACUGUCUGCACAACAAUUAUCCAGCCCAGCAGGAAGCAGAUAUUUUUCUGUGUAUGUAUGGAUCCAAUUAACACUUAUCCCGUCGUGUGCCAGGCACUGAGCAAAAAGCUUCUCCUUACAAACUUCAUUUAAUACCAAUGAGUCUGAGAAGGCGACAUCGCCAGUCUUUCUUUCCAGACAAGAGCAAAGUAAAUGAUAUUUGUUGUACAUCCCCUGAACUCCGAGCACAGUGCUAUCUCCACUAAACCAAGCUGCCUUGUCCUUGGACUCAAGAAAAGCCUGCAUAUUAGCUGAAGGUCAAGAGGGUGCC
This is a long non-coding RNA of Pteropus alecto (black flying fox), 7893 nucleotides long. RefSeq lists it as uncharacterized. Lineage: Eukaryota; Metazoa; Chordata; Mammalia; Chiroptera; Pteropodidae. The record is from RefSeq and is a predicted model, not a curated record. The transcript has 3 exons.